AGAGUUUGAUCCUGGCUCAGGAUGAACGCUAGCGGUAGGCUUAACACAUGCAAGUCGAGGGGUAACGAUGUCUUCGGACAGGCGACGACCGGCGCACGGGUGAGUAACGCGUAUGCAACCUACCCAUAACUGAGGGAUAGCCCGGAGAAAUCCGGAUUAAUACCUCAUAACAUUAUAGAGCUUCAUGGCUUCAUAAUUAAAGCUCCGGCGGUUAUGGAUGGGCAUGCGUGACAUUAGCUUGUUGGUGAGGUAACGGCUCACCAAGGCUGCGAUGUCUAGGGGGUCUUAAAGGAUGAUCCCCCACACUGGUACUGAGACACGGACCAGACUCCUACGGGAGGCAGCAGUGAGGAAUAUUGGUCAAUGGGCGCAAGCCUGAACCAGCCACUCCGCGUGUAGGAUGACUGCCCUAUGGGUUGUAAACUACUUUUAUACAGGAAGAAACCUUCAUACGUGUAUGGAGCUGACUGUACUGUAAGAAUAAGCAUCGGCUAACUCCGUGCCAGCAGCCGCGGUAAUACGGAGGAUGCAAGCGUUAUCCGGAUUUAUUAGGUCUAAAGGGUGCGUAGGCGGAUAUUUAAGUCAGUGGUGAAAUCCUGCAGCUUAACUGUAGAACUGCCAUUGAUACUGGAUGUCUUGAGUUUAGUUGAGGUAAGCGGAAUGUGUAGUGUAGCGGUGAAAUGCUUAGAUAUUACACAGAACACCGAUUGCGAAGGCAGCUUACUAAGCUAACACUGACGCUGAGGCACGAAAGCGUGGGGAGCGAACAGGAUUAGAUACCCUGGUAGUCCACGCCGUAAACGAUGAUCACUCGUUGUAUGUCAGAAUGAUGGCAUGUGACCAAGCGAAAGCAUUAAGUGAUCCACCUGGGGGAGUACGUUCGCAAGAAUGAAACUCAAAGGAAUUGACGGGGGGCCCGCACAAGCGGAAGGAACAUGUGGGUUUAAUUCGAUGAAAUCGCGAGGGAACCUUACCUGGGGCUUUAAAGUUAAAACGACCUUUUGCCCAAAAGGCAUUUUUCCUUUCGGGGCGUAUUCAUAAAGGUGUUUGAUUGGUUUGUUCGUCCUGUCU
RNAcentral lists this ribosomal RNA (1071 nucleotides) under uncultured bacterium. RNAcentral's name for it is "bacterial SSU rRNA". It matches the Rfam family "Bacterial small subunit ribosomal RNA", at positions 8 to 1065 of the family's 1533-position model. The record is from RNAcentral.